GGCGCACACCGGCCGGCGGGGCUGAGGCGGCGCGACGCGGACUGAGCCCCAGGCGGAGGCCAAGUCGGAGGACGCGGCGCGGGCGCGGAGGCGGAGGCAGCCGCGGAGGCGGAGGCGGCCGGCGGGGGGUGGCGAGGGGCGCCGGGCCCCCGCGGACCUGUCGUCCUCGGCCCGUCCUCCGGCCCCGGCCCCGCGCGCCUGAGGAGGCGCGGCCGGGACCAUGUCGGCGGGCGGCCGUGACGAGGAGCGGCGGAAGCUGGCCGACAUCAUCCACCACUGGAACGCCAACCGGCUGGACCUAUUCGAGAUCAGCCAGCCGACCGAGGAUUUGGAGUUCCAUGGAGUGAUGAGAUUUUAUUUUCAAGAUAAAGCUGCUGGAAACUUUGCAACAAAAUGUAUUCGGGUCUCUAGUACUGCCACCACUCAAGAUGUAAUCGAAACGCUUGCGGAGAAAUUUCGACCUGAUAUGCGAAUGCUGUCCUCUCCCAAGUAUUCACUCUAUGAAGUGCAUGUCAGCGGAGAAGAAAGAAGAUUGGAUAUAGAUGAGAAACCUCUAGUUGUACAGUUGAAUUGGAACAAAGAUGAUCGGGAAGGUAGAUUUGUUCUUAAGAAUGAGAAUGACGCCAUUCCUCCUAAGAAGGCUCAAAGUAAUGGACCUGAAAAGCAGGAAAAAGAAGGGGUUAUCCAGAACUUCAAGAGAACUCUCUCAAAGAAAGAAAAGAAGGAAAAAAAGAAGAGAGAAAAAGAGGCAUUGCGACAGGCAUCUGAUAAAGAUGAUAGACCUUUCCAAGGGGAGGACGUUGAAAAUUCUCGACUGGCUGCUGAGGUUUACAAAGACAUGCCUGAAACCAGCUUUACUCGAACCAUUUCUAAUCCUGAGGUGGUUAUGAAACGACGGAGGCAGCAAAAAUUGGAAAAGAGAAUGCAGGAAUUUCGGAGCUCAGAUGGGCGGCCUGAUUCAGGUGGAACAUUGAGAAUUUAUGCAGAUAGUUUAAAACCAAAUAUUCCCUAUAAGACAAUCCUGCUGUCUACUACAGAUCCUGCAGACUUUGCUGUGGCUGAAGCUUUAGAGAAGUAUGGUCUGGAAAAAGAAAACCCUAAGGAUUACUGCAUCGCCCGGGUUAUGCUUCCUCCUGGAGCCCAGCAUUCUGAUGAAAAGGGUGCUAAAGAAAUUAUUCUUGAUGAUGAUGAGUGUCCUUUACAGAUCUUCAGGGAAUGGCCAAGUGACAAAGGGAUUUUAGUCUUUCAGUUGAAGAGGAGGCCACCAGACCACAUCCCAAAGAAAACCAAGAAACACUUGGAAGGCAAGACACCCAAGGGAAAGGAGAGAGCUGACGGGUCUGGCUAUGGCUCCACCCUUCCUCCGGAGAAGCUGCCCUAUUUAGUAGAGUUAAGCCCAGGGAGAAGGAAUCACUUUGCCUACUACAACUAUCACACUUAUGAAGAUGGUUCUGACUCUAGAGAUAAGCCAAAGCUUUACCGCCUUCAGUUAAGUGUUACUGAAGUUGGGACAGAAAAGUUGGAUGACAACUCUAUCCAGUUGUUUGGCCCAGGAAUUCAGCCCCAUCACUGUGACCUCACCAACAUGGAUGGAGUGGUCACUGUGACGCCCAGAAGUAUGGACGCAGAAACCUACGUGGAAGGCCAGCGCAUCUCGGAAACCACCAUGCUGCAGAGUGGCAUGAAAGUGCAGUUUGGGGCGUCCCAUGUAUUUAAGUUUGUGGACCCCAGUCAGGAUCAUGCUCUUGCAAAAAGAUCUGUGGAUGGAGGCCUGAUGGUUAAGGGCCCAAAACAUAAACCUGGAAUUGUUCAGGAGACAACUUUUGAUUUGGGAGGAGAUAUUCAUAGUGGGACAGCAUUACCGACAAGCAAGAGCACCACUAGGCUGGACAGUGACAGAGUGUCAUCUGCCUCUAGCACAGCUGAGCGGGGAAUGGUGAAGCCGAUGAUCAGAGUAGAGCAGCAGCCAGAUUAUCGCAGGCAAGAAAGCAGAACGCAGGAUGCUUCUGGGCCUGAACUGAUACUACCUGCAAGCAUUGAAUUCAGGGAAAGUUCUGAAGAUUCAUUUUUGUCUGCCAUUAUAAAUUAUACUAAUAGCUCUACAGUCCACUUUAAGUUGUCCCCUACAUAUGUAUUAUAUAUGGCAUGCCGGUAUGUAUUGUCCAACCAGUACAGACCUGACAUCAGCCCUACAGAGCGCACACAUAAAGUCAUUGCAGUCGUCAACAAGAUGGUGAGCAUGAUGGAGGGCGUCAUCCAGGAAGUAGACCAGGUUGACCAGAAACAGAAGAAUAUUGCAGGGGCACUUGCCUUCUGGAUGGCAAAUGCAUCUGAACUUCUCAACUUCAUUAAGCAAGACCGAGACCUUAGUCGGAUCACAUUGGAUGCUCAAGAUGUUUUAGCACAUUUGGUUCAAAUGGCAUUUAAAUACUUGGUUCACUGUCUUCAAUCAGAACUUAAUAAUUACAUGCCAGCCUUUCUAGAUGACCCUGAAGAGAACAGUCUGCAGAGACCAAAAAUAGAUGAUGUGCUGCACACGCUCACAGGAGCCAUGUCCUUGCUACGACGCUGCAGAGUCAAUGCCGCCCUGACCAUCCAGCUCUUCUCUCAGCUAUUCCACUUUAUCAAUAUGUGGCUGUUCAAUAGAUUGGUGACUGACCCAGAUUCAGGGCUGUGCUCCCAUUACUGGGGUGCAAUUAUCCGUCAGCAGUUGGGACAUAUUGAAGCCUGGGCUGAGAAGCAGGGACUGGAGCUGGCUGCGGACUGUCAUCUGAGCAGGAUCGUGCAGGCAACGACUUUGCUUACCAUGGAUAAGUAUGCACCUGAUGACAUUCCAAAUAUAAACAGCACCUGCUUUAAGUUAAAUUCACUACAACUUCAAGCCUUAUUACAGAACUAUCACUGUGCACCUGAUGAGCCUUUUAUCCCAACGGAUCUUAUAGAAAAUGUAGUGGCUGUGGCUGAAAACACUGCUGAUGAGCUGGCCCGCAGCGAUGGAAGGGAAGUGCAGCUGGAGGAAGAUCCUGAUCUGCAGCUGCCGUUUCUUUUGCCAGAAGAUGGUUAUUCUUGUGAUGUUGUCAGAAACAUUCCAAAUGGUUUACAAGAAUUUUUAGACCCUCUGUGCCAGAGAGGAUUUUGCAGAUUAAUUCCUCACACACGUUCACCAGGUACUUGGACAAUAUAUUUUGAAGGUGCAGAUUAUGAAAGUCACCUUCUGCGUGAGAACACAGAGCUGGCUCAGCCUCUGAGGAAAGAACCUGAAAUAAUCACUGUGACCCUAAAAAAGCAGAAUGGAAUGGGCCUUAGCAUUGUUGCAGCAAAGGGUGCUGGUCAAGAUAAACUAGGAAUCUAUGUGAAAUCGGUUGUGAAAGGAGGUGCUGCAGAUGUGGAUGGACGUCUAGCUGCAGGUGAUCAGCUCCUCAGUGUGGAUGGACGAAGUCUAGUUGGACUCUCUCAGGAAAGGGCGGCAGAACUCAUGACAAGAACAAGCUCUGUGGUGACACUGGAAGUAGCAAAGCAGGGUGCCAUCUACCACGGUCUGGCCACCCUUCUCAAUCAGCCAUCCCCCAUGAUGCAGAGAAUUUCAGAUCGUCGUGGCUCAGGUAAACCCCGACCAAAGAGUGAAGGCUUUGAGCUCUAUAAUAAUUCAACUCAAAAUGGGUCUCCUGAGAGUCCUCAGCUGCCUUGGGCAGAAUAUAGUGAACCAAAGAAAUUGCCUGGUGAUGACAGACUGAUGAAAAAUAGAGCUGAUCACCGUUCCAGCCCCAACGUAGCAAAUCAGCCUCCUAGUCCUGGAGGGAAAAGUGCAUAUGCCUCUGGAACAACAGCGAAGAUAACAUCUGUCUCUACUGGAAACCUCUGCACUGAGGAGCAGACGCCUCCGCCUAGACCUGAAGCCUAUCCCAUCCCCACUCAGACGUACACCAGAGAGUAUUUUACCUUCCCAGCUUCCAAAUCCCAGGAUCGGAUGGCUCCUCCUCAGAACCAGUGGCCAAAUUAUGAGGAAAAGCCACAUAUGCACACAGAUAGUAAUCAUUCCAGUAUUGCAAUUCAGCGUGUUACACGUUCCCAAGAAGAACUUCGAGAAGAUAAAGCUUACCAACUUGAGCGGCAUCGAAUAGAGGCAGCUAUGGACCGAAAGUCUGAUAGUGAUAUGUGGAUAAAUCAGAGCUCCUCAUUGGACUCCAGUACGUCUAGCCAAGAGCAUCUGAACCAUUCCUCUAAGUCGGUCACCCCUGCUUCCACACUGACCAAAAGUGGCCCUGGCCGUUGGAAAACACCAGCAGCCAUACCGGCCACCCCUGUGGCCGUCUCCCAGCCAAUCCGAACAGACCUGCCUCCGCCACCCCCGCCACCUCCCGUCCACUAUGCCGGUGAUUUCGAUGGAAUGUCCAUGGAUUUGCCUCUCCCACCACCCCCUUCUGCCAACCAGAUAGGGCUGCCGUCUGCGCAGGUGGCUGCCGCCGAACGGAAAAAGAGAGAAGAACAUCAACGUUGGUAUGAGAAGGAGAAGGCCCGCCUGGAGGAGGAGCGGGAGAGGAAGCGGAGAGAGCAGGAGAGGAAGUUGGGCCAGAUGCGCACUCAGUCUUUAAACCCUGCUCCGUUUUCUCCCCUGACCGCACAGCAGAUGAAGCCCGAAAAGCCUUCCACGCUCCAGCGGCCCCAGGAAACAGUCAUUCGGGAGCUGCAGCCUCAGCAGCAGCCCCGCACGAUUGAGCGCAGAGACUUGCAGUACAUCACAGUCAGCAAAGAGGAGCUUUCCUCGGGAGACAGUCUGUCCCCUGACCCGUGGAAGCGGGACGCCAAGGAGAAGCUGGAGAAGCAGCAGCAGAUGCACAUCGUGGACAUGCUGAGCAAGGAGAUCCAGGAGCUCCAGGGCAAACCGGACCGCAGCGCCGAGGAGAGCGACCGGCUGCGGAAGCUCAUGCUGGAGUGGCAGUUCCAGAAGAGACUCCAGGAGUCGAAGCAGAAGGACGAAGAUGACGAGGAGGAGGAGGACGACGAUGUGGACACCAUGCUGAUCAUGCAGCGCCUGGAGGCUGAACGAAGAGCGAGGCAGACUGCUAUGCCAGCAAUCUCUGUUCUAGAUUUGUUGCAGGACGAGGAGCGGAGGCGGCAGCAGCAGUUAGAAGAGAUGCGCAAGCGGGAAGCGGAAGACCGAGCGAGGCAAGAGGAAGAGCGCCGGCGGCAGGAGGAGGAGCGAACAAAACGAGACGCUGAAGAAAAGCAGAGGCGACAGGAAGAAGGGUAUUACAGCCGCCUGGAAGCUGAGAGGCGCAGACAGCACGACGAGGCGGCGCGCAGGUUGCUGGAGCCCGAGGCGCCCGGUCUGUGCCGCCCUCCGCUUCCCCGGGACUACGAGCCCCCGUCCCCGUCCCUCGCGCCUGGCGCCCCUCCUCCCCCGCCUCAGCGAAACGCCUCCUACCUCAAAACACAGGUCCUCUCCCCCGACUCGCUGUUCACUGCCAAGUUUGUUGCAUACAAUGAGGAGGAGGAGGAGGAGGACUGCAGCCUAGCAGGUCAGGAUAAGUACUCCAGCACAAGAAAGUCUCAUGGGGACCUCCUUCCUGCCCCUCUUAAACCACGGCCACCCCCCUGCCAGCCACGCCCGGCCUCCGAUGGCAUCUUUCUCUCCAACUCAUUCCAGCCACCCUCAGCCAAAGCCAACAGUACUGCUCACAAAAAAGGCCAGCCCCCGCCCCCUCCAAAAAAAUCCAGCUCCUACCAUCCCAGCCACUGCAAAGGUAGAGGUAAAAGAGUGACAAAUCAGCUCUCUUUGUCUUAAUGAUUGGAACCUCAGCAUCUCUCUGCACACUUGCCCUGUAGUAUGGUCCAUGGCGAUCGUACUUGCCUUGGAAUUUGGAUGUCAUGUGAUCACUGGUCUCAGCAUGGUGAUCCUCCUCUGCCUCUGAUUGUGAUGUUCUGUGCUAAUACUCUUUGGUAGAUAUCUUAGUACUCCGAUUUCUUUUACACUUUAAAAAGUUCCAUUUCUUUGAUCAGCUGACAAUCAGUCCUUCUCUGUUGUUCCCAAAUCACUUGAAGUACUGUUGGUCUUGGCUUUCAUUUUCUAUCUCUACAAAUGAUCUUAUAUUUGUUUGAACAAGUGCCUUUUCACACAUUGUAGUGUCUCUAAAGACAAAGUGUUAUAAUUACAUUAUAAGUUUCCAUUAUUUAAUGUUGGUAGAACUUUCUGUUCUGGAUUAAGUAGCCUGUGGAAUAAAUUAUGCGCGCUCAUGGUGGUUUGGUUGGUGUGGCCGGAGCAUCUGCUAAGCUGGUUAACUGUUGGCUUCAUGACCUCCGUGCAGGCUGCCUCACGCCAGGGUCCAGAGACCCCAGUUACAGUGAAAUUCCUCUCAUCCCCUUUUCCUCUAACUGGCUUCACUCCUACCUGUUACUUGCACUCUUAGCACCUAGUAACACCAGCAGCCAGACCUUAGCAGGCGUGCAGCUGCUCUUAGGGAAACCCCCUGCGCUGACUGUAGAGCAGGACCGUUCUGCAGGGGACAGGGCCUAGAGGCUGUCACAGGCGUGGGUUCAGUAGUCAGUGUUUUCAAGACAGCAUGUUUACAAUAUAGCUGAAUUCAUAAGGAUUCAGAUUCCACACUAAUCUUACCUUAAAUGAAACUGGAAUUCUGGUACUAAAUAUCUUCAGAUACAGGAGGAUUACUUUUAAUGAGUGUAUGAGAGUCUUCUAAAUCCUGCAUCAUUCUCCAUAAGCAAGGCAUGGGACUCGACAAUUCUGAAAUUGUCGAAUAGUCUGACUCAGUGUAACUGUCACUCUUACUCAACAGAUUAAUUUUGCCAGAAUUCUGUCUUUCCCUGCCCCCCCUGGAUCAGAGCUUUGAUCUACUUUGAAAGUUUAAUAUAUAAUAAUAUUUAGGUUGAGUCACUUUGGAAGCCAGGAUUAAAUCAUUUUAUGAAAUAUCUGUUGUAAAUAUCUAUAAUUUGGUACCUUUUAGAGAAAUUUACGGAAUAAUAGUAAAUUUUGAAGCAGGAUGCCAUCAGUCUCCUUGUAUUGAAUUUUAUAAGCCGAACUUAAGAUAUUUUAUGUGUCAUGACAGAAAUGUGAGGUUUGUUAGCCAAGUAUUAUAGUGAGGUGUCACUGCCCACCAUCUUGGCUCUCAGUCCUACCACUAACCCUUAUUUUACUGCACACGUGAAGUACCUCACAGGACCAGGUCAUAGCCGACAUCUGAUUGCUCCACUUCUCUGAAGACUUCUUCGUAAUGUACAGAGCCAUCUGCACCGUGUGCAGGGCAUUCUGACCUCGUGUCCUCCUCGUUUCACCAGCGUGGUCUCAUUCCUUGCUCAGCUCUGUUGCUGUCGCGAGCGCUCUGGUAAAGCUUCUGCAGAUGGACUGGGCUUCUUCCACUGGCCAGUGAGAGGAGCAGCAUUAGGAUGUGAAUGAGUAAUACCAGAUUUGAACAUAGCACUAUGUGAAAGAUUCAUCACUAAAGCUUUUUGAAAAUGAUCUGUGAUUUGGAGUAUUCAUAGAGAGUCAGCUGAAGGUAUUUGAUACUCUAAGUCUAAAAGUUCUGAAAAUUUUGAAGAAUUAAUUUUACCAGUGGAAAAAGCCAGUAUCAUUCUUAAAACAAAGCUCAAAAGAUAUAACACAAUGUUUUUAAAACUAAGCAAGAUAAAAAAUUUGGAACUAAAAUUGAAAAAAAUGUCUCCAUGAGGUAAUUUAUCUAAAGUCCCGCUAUAGAUUGUCAUAAGGUAGAGAUGUGUUUCUGUUGAAUCUUUUGAGUCUUUGCUGAGGAUGGCGCCCUCUGCAGGGUGGUGGGAAACCUGAGUGAAGGUGCAGUGCAGAGAGGAGCCUUCGAAAGGCAGCUGUGUCCCGUCUGCAGCACAUCAGAUGAGUUCUGCACAGCAGGUCCUUUUGUAGAAGAGGAGAAACAAAAAUUUAUUUUUGUGCAGGUUGUUUGAAAAAGAAUUUUAAUGUGAAAAUAUUGUACUACUUUUGUGGCCUGUCUAAUCCAAUAUUCAUUGCUGUCAGUGUUUGCUAAAUAGUUUGAGCAUUUAUUACUCCAGCCUGUAUUACACUGUCAGAUUUUUCCAGUGUGAAUUUUUCUAAUGCUACAUUUAAUAGAAAUACAUUAACACUGAUUUACUGCAUUAUGAUUUUAACAAUAUGACAUUGAUUGUUACUUGGAUACACUUAGUGACAUUAUUACUUGGAUACAUUUAAAACUUUGUGUCUGCAUCACAUCUUUUGAUCCUCAACAAUCCACUGAAGCCAGUAGGAACAGGGCAAAUGUUGCUGAUGGGUUGAUGUUACACUCACCCAGAGUUGCUCUGCCAGUCAGAGGCAGAGCUGGGCCAUGGGCAGUAUUCCUGUCUAAUAAUGAAGGGCGUCAGGUCAAUUUUUUAGCACCUUUUGAGAGUAGUAAUUGGAUUACUCAGGCCACCAACAGGGAUGAAUUUCAAAUUGAUGAAACUUUGAUACAAUAUGAAGGGUCUUUUACCUUCCUGCUUAUUCAGUAAAGGUAUUUUUUUAUUCUCUGAGCACUGCAUCUUUAUCAUGAGUAAAGCUUAGAAAUAAUCAAGUACUUUAACUUGUACUGUUUCUUUCAUGGAAAAGGACCAAACUCUUACCCAGGAUCUACUGGAGCAGCUGUUGGAGCCCAUGACGCCUAUCGGGAUGCAAAAGAGAAGCGCUCUAAAAGCCAAGAUGCAGAUUCACCUGGAAGUUCUGGGGCCCCUGAAAACUUGACAUUCAAGGAACGCCAGCGUCUUUUUUCACAAGGUCAAGAUGUAUCCAAUAAAGUGAAAGCUUCUCGUAAAUUAACAGAACUGGAGAAUGAACUGAACACAAAGUGAAAGAAAAUAGGGGAACACUUUGUAUUUACCCCAAAAUCUUUUCAGUUUGGGUUUGUAGGUGCGAGUUUGAAGAGGAAAGAGGAAGGGGGUUUUAUUUCCAAGUGAUUUACAAUUUCUGUUUCUAAAAUUGUUGGGAUUUAGAAAUGUUUGAAUUCCAAGAAAUUUUAUUUUACUUUACCAGGAGAUUGCCAUUUAUGUGAUUUAAACACUGUCUAGUUUCUUAAUUAUCUAACUCACAUGAGGGUAAGUUUUUUGUUGGUUUCUUUUUUGGAGUCCUGAGUUCAAAGGGGACAGAACUGAGGGCAGGAGGAGAGAAUGGAUGUGUCUUCUCUCCCAUCUUCCCCUCAUCAUCAACCGAGGAGCACAAAGAAGUUCUGUUUCUGUUUUUUUCAGAAACUUUAUUUUAGCUGUCAAGCAGAGAAUAGCUUGAACUAUUCAGACUAUUGUGGGCACUGUUUAGUAGUGACCACACACUCUUCUACCCGGGAAGGAACAUAUGGCGACAUGCUCCUCCCGUGUCCCCUGAUGGUGUCUGUUCCCACAACAUCCUUCUAGUCUGCAUCGUGAAAUGGCUUAGGCCAAAGCUUCCUGGGCGAUGACGCACGUCUGAGACUGUUCCAUCUCAUUCCUCGCAAAUUUCAGCUCUUCUGAUCAAUUCUAAAUAUUUGAUUAAUUUUAAUUCUGAAAGAAAAUUUUGAGGAUUUAAGCUUAGGGGAUUUUAUUUUUAUAAAUACCAGAUUAUUGUUAGACUUAAUAAAUCACUGGUAAAUUUAAAGAUGACAGUUAUAUUAGAAAGUUAACUAAUACUUCAGCUGUUCCAAGGCAUCUGUAAAAGAAGAGAUCUUUAUUGGAGCAAUGUUCAUGUGACUGGGAAUGGCAGAAGAAUGGGAGAUGAGUAGGGACCCCUCAAGCACAGCUGUCACUCAGAAAUUUUAAAUUUGAAAAAGAAAUAGAUUUUCAUCUGUAUGCCGUCAAGGAAGGAAUUCAAUUACAGGCAUCUGUAACUUAAAUAUUGUAAGAAUAACUCAUAUGGAAGUUCAAGCUAUUUUUAUAUUUAAUUUUAAUGUGUUGAAUUAUGAGUUACCACUGUCAUUUCUUCAGCUAUGGAUAUGUGGCUGAUGUUGGGGAGACGGACCUCAGUGUGUUUUAUAUUGUCUGGUGUUAAGAUGAUGAAUAACUUUGCGAUUACAAGCAAGUUUUCUAUUUGACAAAGCCCUUGGUGGAGUCCAAAUGAUUUUUCUGUACCAUAUUGUUCUCUUACACAUUCGUAUGUUAGGAAAAUAGGCACACUUGCAAAGAGGAUGUUCUCUUAUACAUAUGUUAGGAAAAUAGGCACACUUUCCUAUAAAGAGAGGUAUAGGGGCUUUUACUGCCUUCGAAAUCACUUUUAAUAAGAGUUGUAUGAUAAAUCAUUAAAAAUGCGAGUGUAAAUAUUUUUUUAUGUCUAUCAGGUUUUUUAUUUGAAAGUGUGCUCUUACCAUUUCCUUGUUUGAGUAAGAGAGUGAAAUGGUUCUGAGUGUUUAGGAAGGAUUUGCUUGCUUGCAGCGGAAGUUCUAGGAAGAGCAAGCGCCUCCCAAAUAUCUUGAGAACACUGGCAGCCUUAUGGUGACUAAAUCCACACUUUCUUUAAAGAGAUGCAGAUGAAUUACUUUUCUGUUAAUAUAUAGAAAAAUACACAGGAGAACAUGCAGAUACAUGUAAAUAUCUACAUACAGGGAUAUUUGUAUGUGUGGUUGUGAAACCUAUACACAAGUGAAUUUGGCCAUCUUUGGGCAGUGAGGUCAAAUGUGAAUAUGUGUAAAAGUGCUUUUCAGAACUGUGCAUUACUAUGAGAAAACAUCAAAACUGCUGUAGUUUUCCAUUUCUACUGUAUUUCAGUUGCAACCUAUUUUUAAUAAACUUUGUAUGUAUUUAAGUGUAUUUGCUACUGUUUUGAAAGUGCUGACAAAGUUUAUAUUUGUAACAUCAGCCCUCCUCGCCCGUCUCUUUCCAUCUGUCUAUUCUUCAUUAAACACUUACUGAGUAUGA
Molecule: RNA transcript, 10848 nt
Organism: Nomascus leucogenys (northern white-cheeked gibbon)
Lineage: Eukaryota; Metazoa; Chordata; Mammalia; Primates; Hylobatidae
Gene: AFDN
Gene name: afadin, adherens junction formation factor
Exons: 34
Source: RefSeq, a predicted model, not a curated record